This 331-nucleotide unclassified non-coding RNA is filed under the name soil metagenome. RNAcentral's name for it is "partial contains 5.8S ribosomal RNA, internal transcribed spacer 2, and large subunit ribosomal RNA". The stretch from base 1 to 120 matches the Rfam family "5.8S ribosomal RNA", at positions 35 to 154 of the family's 154-position model. The record is from RNAcentral.
GAUGAAGAACGCAGCGAAAUGCGAUAAGUAAUGUGAAUUGCAGAAUUCAGUGAAUCAUCGAAUCUUUGAACGCACAUUGCGCCCCCUGGUAUUCCGGGGGGCAUGCCUGUUCGAGCGUCAUUACAACCCUCAAGCUCUGCUUGGUAUUGGGCCCCGCCAGUUCUGGCGGGCCCUAAAGUCAGUGGCGGUGCCUUCCGGCUCCGAGCGUAGUAAUUCUUCUCGCUCUGGAGACCCGGUUGUGUGCUUGCCGAUCAACCCAAAUUUUUAUCCAGGUUGACCUCGGAUCAGGUAGGGAUACCCGCUGAACUUAAGCAUAUCAAUAAGCGGAGGA